Molecule: transfer RNA, 34 nt
Filed under: Amorphophallus mossambicensis
Lineage: Eukaryota; Viridiplantae; Streptophyta; Magnoliopsida; Alismatales; Araceae
Description: partial tRNA-Leu
Source: RNAcentral
UUGAAAUCGUGAGGGUUCAAGUCCCUCUAUCCCC